UACGAAGGGGGCGAGCGUUGUUCGGAAUCACUGGGCGUAAAGGGCGCGUAGGCGGCCCUCCUAGUCGCGUGUGAAAGCCCCGGGCUCAACCUCGAGACGCCGGUGGAAACCGUAAAGCUAGAGUCCGGAAGAGGAGAGUGGAAUUCCUGGUGUAGCGGUGAAAUGCGCAGAUAUCAGGAGGAACACCCGUGGCGAAAGCGGCUCUCUGGGACGGUACUGACGCUGAGACGCGAAAGCGUGGGGAGCAAACAGG
This 253-nucleotide ribosomal RNA is filed under the name uncultured bacterium. Its description in RNAcentral is "partial 16S ribosomal RNA". It matches the Rfam family "Bacterial small subunit ribosomal RNA", at positions 524 to 776 of the family's 1533-position model. The record is from RNAcentral.